RNAcentral lists this ribosomal RNA (481 nucleotides) under uncultured Verrucomicrobiota bacterium. RNAcentral describes it as "bacterial SSU rRNA". It matches the Rfam family "Bacterial small subunit ribosomal RNA", at positions 355 to 829 of the family's 1533-position model. Lineage: Bacteria; Pseudomonadati; Verrucomicrobiota. The record is from RNAcentral.
UCGAGAAUUUUUCACAAUGGGGGAAACCCUGAUGGAGCGACGCCGCGUGGGGGAUGAAUGGCUUCGGCCCGUAGACCCCUGUCAUUCGCGAUCAAAGCGCAUUAUUUAAAAGAUGAUGUGUUGAUAGUAGCGGAAGAGGAAGGGACGGCUAACUCUGUGCCAGCAGCCGCGGUAAUACAGAGGUCCCGAGCGUUGUUCGGAUUCACUGGGCGUAAAGGGUGCGUAGGUGGUGAGGUAAGUCGGAUGUGAAAGCUCGGAGCUCAACUCCGAAAUGGCAUUGGAAACUACCUUGCUGGAGGGUUGGAGGGGGGACUGGAAUUCUCGGUGUAGCAGUGAAAUGCGUAGAUAUCGAGAGGAACACCAGUGGCGAAGGCGAGUCCCUGGACAACACCUGACACUGAGGCACGAAAGCUAGGGGAGCAAACAGGAUUAGAUACCCUGGUAGUCCUAGCCGUAAACGGUGCGUGCUUGCUGUAAAAGG